This is an RNA transcript of Portunus trituberculatus (swimming crab), 2251 nucleotides long. It is a transcript of the gene named serine/arginine-rich splicing factor 7-like, with no coding region annotated. The record is from RefSeq and is a predicted model, not a curated record. The transcript has 9 exons. NCBI's taxonomy places the organism in Eukaryota, Metazoa, Arthropoda, Malacostraca, Decapoda, Portunidae.
UCACGUGUACUAGUGGGAGGAGGUGGAGUAAAGUGGAUGGUGCCGUGACGCUGGGAGGUGGGGGUGCCAACUGCCACGAGACAUUGCUGGGCCAGGCACUUGAGACGUGGCUUGGAUGCCCACUCACCCUCCACCACACCUCCCUGCCUUACCUGUGUGCUUGAUAGUGUCCCUGGAGCCACUACAGGCGAAAGAUGUCAUCAGAUUCAGAGGAAGAAAAUGGUGUCCAGCGCGAUGCUGAGGACAGUGACGGAGGCAACUACAGCCGUCACUCCCGGUCCCGCUCGCGUUCCCGCUCCUCGGGGCGGUCACCACCAAGGGAUGACGACAUGGAUGAGGAGCAGCAUGGGCAGGACCGCAAGGAGAAUGGGAUGAGGGGCGGAGGGAGUGACGAGUACAGCUCAAAGAAGUACGAUGGGCAGAGAAAUGCCAGUCGCUCUAAAUCCCCAGAGAACAAGGACGCCAUGGAGUGGUCCGCACCCCCUGCCACGGACGACAACAAGAGGGCCUCACGUAGCCGCAGCAAGAGCAAGCCCAGGGACCAGGAUGUUGCCAAGGAGCAGAAGUCAAGCAGCAGCUCCUCCAAGAAGAAGUCACGCUCCAGGCGGUCACGCUCUCGCUCCAGAAGCAAGAGGAGGUCAAGGAGUCGUAGGCGCACAAGGUCGCGUUCCCGAUCCUACAAUUCUAGGUCCCGGAGAAGAUCCCGUUCUAGGUCACGGAGGAGGUCACGAUCACGGUCUCGCAGAAGAUCGCGCUCAAGGUCAAGGUCAAGGAGUGGCACACCUGUGGAUGGGGCUCGACUCCAUGUGGCUGAGCUGGAUGUGGACACCCGUAAACGUGAUCUUGAGCGUGUGUUUGAGAAGUACGGCCGGCUGAGGGAAAUCUGGAUGGCCCGCAAUCCUCCGUGCUUUGCCUUUGUGGUGUACGCUCACCAGAAAGAUGCUGACCGUGCUCUUAAAGAGACAGAUGGCAUCACAAUUGGCCACUGCCGCAUUAAGGUGACCCAAGCCAGGCCACGGGUGCGGGGAGGUCGGAUGAGAGGUGGCUAUGACCCCAAUUUACGCUGCUAUCAGUGUGGUGAACUUGGUCACUUCUCCCGUAACUGUACUGACACCAAGUUUGGCUACAAGCGGCCUCCCACACCACCAGGGGUGACCUUUUCGCUUCUUCACAGCAUGGAGACGACGGGGAAGCGAAAGGGCAAGUUUCCUUAGGUGCUGUGGGGCAAGGUUCCUUAGGUGCUGAGGGUGUGUUAUGGUUUGGUAAUGUGGUCAUUGGUUGGGUAAUGGGGAGAGGAAGCCGCUCCAGUGUAGUGCCGGAAUGAUGAUGGUGGUUCUGCGGGGCUCAGUGAUGGGAGAGUCACGUCCCCCCCCCGCUCACUCACACACUCACUCCGCAUGAUGUAAGUCUACCCCACCACGCCAUCUCUCUCCUUUAGAAAUGUGAUAUGGCGGGGUCCACAGCUUUAGGGUGUUGUAAUUUGAGUGGUGUGGUGUUAGUGUGUUACUCUUGUCCGGUGAAGAAGGCAGCAGUGGUGUGAUAUCCAACAUGGGACAUGGUGCUAAACGGACUACGAUAUGGGGUGAAGUCGCAUCCUGCUUUGGCAAACAAAAGUAGCCGUCACAUAUCCCCUUAAUUUUCAGAGUGAGGGAGAGUUACCACCCUCGACUUGUUUGAUGUGGAGGGAGUAGAUAUGGUCCCACCGCCGGGGACGCCACCGCUCACGCUCCAGGUCACGGUCUCGCUACCGCAGCCGCUCCAGGUCUCGGUCGUGAGGCCCUAGAGUUGUGGGACCAACUUGCCAAAAAGGACGAAGGUACACUGGACUGCCAGCGCCGACCUUCAGAGCAGUUGUGUCGGUGGUUCGUUGAAGGUGAAAUCCGGACUAUCAAUAAAUCAUUCAGUGGUAGAAACCCUCAGUUCUGUUUUGUCUGCCUAUGAUGUAAGUUGGCAAGUUCUAGCACAAAGAAAGAUUUAGGACCUUGCCUUCACUUGAUCACUCACUCUAAGACCGGUCAGUUUAAGAUUAUUAUGCCUGUUUCUGUCUUCUGUUUUGUUAAUCAGCCUGGGAACACCCAACCACACACUUUAUUUCAUAUUUUUCUUUACAUUUUUUUCAGUUUUGCCUGCCUUUGAAUUUUCUGUUUGUAAGUUAGGAGUAUGUUUUUCAUGAUCAAUCACUAUGAGGUAUUGUACUUGAUGUAAGCAAUGAGAAUAUAAAGUAAAUAAAUAAAAAUUAACUACUGUCUUA